AGGCAGCAGUAGGGAAUCUUCCACAAUGGGCGCAAGCCUGAUGGAGCAACACCGCGUGAGUGAAGAAGGGUUUCGGCUCGUAAAGCUCUGUUGUUGGAGAAGAACGUACCUGAGAGUAACUGUUCAGGUAGUGACGGUAUCCAACCAGAAAGUCACGGCUAACUACGUGCC
RNAcentral lists this ribosomal RNA (171 nucleotides) under uncultured bacterium. RNAcentral's name for it is "partial 16S ribosomal RNA". It matches the Rfam family "Bacterial small subunit ribosomal RNA", at positions 346 to 509 of the family's 1533-position model. The record is from RNAcentral.